Amblyraja radiata (thorny skate) is the source of this 2691-nucleotide long non-coding RNA. RefSeq lists it as uncharacterized. The record is from RefSeq and is a predicted model, not a curated record. NCBI's taxonomy places the organism in Eukaryota, Metazoa, Chordata, Chondrichthyes, Rajiformes, Rajidae. The transcript has 3 exons.
GGAAAGGCUACAUGAGCAGGCCGAACAAGACGCGGUGUCCCUUUAACAGGGAGUGGGUUAUAAAUGCGUCCCAGUCUUGGUGGCCCGCGUCUCGGUUCACGAGUCAGGUUGAAGCCGACGGCUUCUCGGAGCGCCUCGGCCAUUACCGCUACGAUCACACACACACACAAAACACACGCAGCACUUGGACUUGGACUCGAAAUGUACGUAGCCAAUGCACACGUAUACAGUUCACGCACAAAUUCAUUUCAGCUGGCAAGCAAAGUGCUCGCAGAUGGGAAAUGUGCCAAGAUCAGCGCUUUUGCUUUCUGUCUGUCUCUCUCCCCCGUCUCUCUCUCUCCCCCUCCCUUCCACCACCACCCCUCCCCUUCAAAAUACCACAAAAAUCUUGGCGCAACCCCGAUCGCAACAAGCAACUGCGCCAAUCCACCCAUCGGCCUGACGGUGCACCGGAGAUAUACGUACCAUUGCCAUGUGAAAAAACACAUAUCAACAAUCGACUUUGUUUGACUCAACACUAAGAAUGCUGGGAACACACAUACUGGUGGGUCAGGCAGCAUCCGUGGAAAGGGAACCAGAGUUAACGUCUCAGCUCAAGUCCUGGUGAAAUAUAAUGUCUUUCUUCACAGAUGAGGCCUGACCUGCUGAGCGUUUCCAGCAUUUCCUGGGGUUUUCUUUUUAUUGAGGAUUUCCAGCACCUGCGGCUCUCCGAUCUUCAAUCGAUUUGACUGAUUUGACUGAGAAGAAAGUUGGAGAAUUUCUACCGACUUUUCACUCUCCAAACGACCCGCGUCUAAUUCUGACUCGGGCUACGCUGCAAUGGAUUCUUAUAUUAGCAAUACCGUCUCCAGUGAUCAGAUCGCGCAAACAUAAUUAUACAUGGGAGACUUGCAUGGACCACAAAUUCUCUGGAGACUCAAAUCAAGGCAAUAUCAAGACACCGAAUUUACUUUUAAACUAUCAACCGAAAAAAAAGGUUAAGAAACUGAAAUCACACAAUAUCUAGAAAUUGAUUAGCAGAAAAUGAUGUAAUGAAUUUGCUUUUUCAAGAUAAUUGUGUAUAACUAAUAAUGAAUUAGUGAACCAAGAAGACACAACCGAGAAAAAAAAGUUAGCAUACAUGGGACGAAUAGCGAGCCGGAUAUGGAAAAAUGUUAACUGCACCUGUCGGUCGCAAUGGAAUUAUCAAGUGUAACUAAUGGAACACCAUUGUCGCUUUCGUAAUGCUUGUUACUGUUACACACGGAGAAAGAGAAGCAACAACUCAAUUACUGCAGCAGCGCGGAAGACCGCGAGUAAGGAUUGUUAUCAGUUCUCCCCAGAUUCUACCACUCCCGACACGCCAAGAGCUAUUUACAGAGGCCAAUUAAUUUAGAGGCAAGCUCGCCUUUGGGAUGUGGGUGAAACCACGGCACCCAGAGGAAACCAAUGCAGUUACAGGGAGCAAACUCCACACAGACAGCACCCGAGAUCUGGAUCCAAGCCGGGUCACUGGCGCUGUGAGGCAAGGUCGAUCUGUGUCAAAUCGCGUUCCUUGGCUUCUGGAGAGAGCAGGGGUUGAGUGAGGCUCACUCACCUGUGUGUUAUCCUCGUUCAGCCGGCGGUGAUUUGUGGCAAGGGCUCGACGUUUUAAACUGCAACCUAGUGUCAAACUAGUCCUGGUGGAACAUUGUUUGUUUUAAUCCAGUUUCCCGAAGAUAUACUACAACUCACAUCCUUACAGAACGCAGUCAUUUGCCAACCCCUGUCUAAUCCAAAUCAUAACUAAAGUGUUGGAGAAAGGAAGGAGAUUACAGGGAGUGGUAGAGAGUGGUGGACACUGCCCGGUCCAUCACGGGUACUGACUUCUCCGCCAUUGAAGAGAUCUAUAGGAGGCGCUGCCUCGGAAAAAAAAGGCAGCCAGUGUCAUCUAAGAGUCAUAGCGCCCUGGCCACGCUCUCAUUUCACGCCUCCCAUCGGGAAGAAGGUACAGGAAAACUCUGACCUCCAGGUUAAAGAACAGUUUAUUCCCAACAACCACCAGGAUCGUGAACACUACACUACACAACACUAACCAAACCAUGAACUUUUAUGAACUGUCUUUAGUUGCACUUCGGUUUAUUUGCACUAAUAUUUUGGUUAUUAAUCAUUUUUUCCUAUUAUAUAUUAUCCAUGCAUAUUGUGUUACAGGCCUGUUAUGUUGCUGCAAGUAAGAAUUUAAUUGUUCUAUUGUCGGUACCUAUGACAAUCUUGGCUCUUGACCUCGACGGAUCAGGCAGCAGUUGCAGAGGGAAUGGACAGUCCACACCACACACUCCCUCUACAGAUGCUGCCUGAUCUGCCGGGUUCCUCCAGCACUUUUUGUUUUGCUCACGAUUCCAGCAUCUGCAGCCCCAACGUCUGCUAAACAAAAAAUACCAAAUCUGUUGUGAUGCAGUCCAAACUAGGAGACAUCGAACAAACAAUUGUCGAAUUAUUUAAAUUGAGUGUCUUCAAAUGUUAGUGUAUAGGAUUUGCACCCCUAAGUAAGAGACUUGGGUGUGAUUGUCUUGUCAGUGCGGCUCGAGUAAGGACCUGCACAUUAUUCGCCCCCCACCUCUCUUUUCCAGCUCUCUCCCCCUCCCCUCUCCCAUCAGAAUCAGUCCGAAGAAGGGCCUCGACCGAAACGUCGCCUGUCCAUUCCCUCCACAAGUGCUGCCUGACCCGCUGAGU